UGUCUUGAUAAAGGACGACAAUCUACCUC
Molecule: non-coding RNA, 29 nt
Filed under: Bombyx mori (domestic silkworm)
Lineage: Eukaryota; Metazoa; Arthropoda; Insecta; Lepidoptera; Bombycidae
Source: RNAcentral